Ricinus communis (castor bean) is the source of this 3785-nucleotide RNA transcript. It is a transcript of the gene named putative disease resistance protein At1g50180, with no coding region annotated. NCBI's taxonomy places the organism in Eukaryota, Viridiplantae, Streptophyta, Magnoliopsida, Malpighiales, Euphorbiaceae. The record is from RefSeq and is a predicted model, not a curated record. The transcript has 3 exons.
UCAGUCAGUUCGAUUUAGUUUAUAUUUUUAGAAAAAUUUGGUUUAUUCGGUUUGUAUAUUUUUGAAUAGUUUAAAGAAAAAAGAGAAAAACUGAAACUAAACAAAAAUUCCAAAUAGAAUAGUUUGAAUAUGAAUAUGAGGUCCAUAUUAGGUGUUACCAAAGCUGUAGACGACUUUGUAAGCCAAAAGUCGUCCCAAAUGGAUUAAUCAAGGAAUCUUCAUGGUGACCUGAAACUAAAUUAUACGUGAAACGUGUUGACCGCAGAAAUCCAUUCAUAAGAGAAAAAACAAGAGGAAUGCUUCAUCUCUGAGAGAGAUAUUGUGUUCAAAGAAGAUCAGAGAUUUAAACUUUUGAUCCUAUAACAAGAGUAGAGAUAAUAAAGAUGGCUGAGUUUGCAGUAGGAAUUGUUGUGGAAAAACUAACAAACAUACUUGCACAAGAAGCAGGUCACCUAGACGGGGUGAGCGAGAAGGUUCAGCAACUGAGAAACGAAUUGAAGUGGAUGCAAAGCUUCUUGAAGGAUGCAGAUGCGAAGCAAGGAAGUAAUGAAUUGGUACGGAACUGGGUUUCUGAAAUUAGAGAUGUUGCCUAUGAUGCAGAGGAAGUAAUCGACGCAUACAUCUCUAAAGCAGCAUCUCAUCGUAAACGAGACUUGAUCACCAAACCAAUAGACCUGUACAAGGUUGGAAGGAAGAUUGCGAGUAUCCGAUCAAGGAUCCAGGAAAUAUCUAGCAGGCGAGAAACUUAUGGUGUGGUAAGCAUUAACAGCGAGGGAGGAGAGGGGAAUGCCGCGAACGAGAGGCUGAAAUGGUGGAGACAACCGUCACCUCUUAUCGAGGAAGAUGAUGUUAUUGAGCUCGUAGAAGAUACAAAAGUUUUGGUUGAAAAGCUAACUAGUUUGGAAUACAGGCGGAGUGUAGUUUCCAUUGUAGGAAUGGGCGGUUUGGGGAAAACAACCUUGGCGAAGAAACUAUACACUCACAACGAUGUCAAGUAUCAUUUUGAUUGUAAAGCUUGGGUUUACGUCUCAAAAGAUUAUAGGAGAAGGGAGAUUCUGCAAGGAAUUAUCAUGGAUGCAAAUGCGCUCAACAAGGAGGAGAUGGAAAAUAUGGAAAAGCUGAAAGAGGAAGAGUUGUUGAAGAUACUGUCUGAAUUCCUGGAAGAAAGGAGAUAUCUAGUGGUUCUUGAUGACAUAUGGAGCAUGGAGGCUUGGGACGGCGUAAAAACUGCGUUUCCCCAUGGAAAGAAUGGAAGCAAGAUAUUGCUCACCACCAGAAACAAGGAGGUGGCUUUACAUGCAGGACCAGGAUGCGAACCCCACGAGCCGCGGAUCCUGACAGAAGAAGAAAGUUUAGAGUUGCUCCGAAGAAAGGCAUUUCCUGGAAGGAAUCGUUUGCCCUCGGAGUUGGAGAAACUUGGACGGGACAUUGUAGUAAAAUGUGGUGGUCUGCCUCUGGCAGUGGUAGUGCUUGGAGGUUUAUUGUCUAGACAAAACAACUCACCAGAGGAAUGGCGGCGAGUGCUUCAUAACAUCAGUUGGCACUUAAUUAGAGGAGAAGAUCGAACUGCUGCAGUUUUAGCACUAAGCUACAAUGAUUUGCCUCUGCACCUAAAGUCCUGCUUUCUCUACCUGGGACUUUUCCCAGAAGAUGUUUCAAUUCAGAGAGAAAAAUUAAUCCACCUGUGGGUUGCAGAAGGCUUUUUACCAUUAGAAGGGGAAGAAACAGCAGAAAGUGUUGCUGAGAAAUGCUUGUAUGAGUUGAUCCAGAGAUGCAUGAUUCAAGUGGGCCGAAUUAGCUCUCUUGGGAGGGUGAAAACACUCCGCAUCCAUGAUCUUCUCAGAGACCUCUCUAUUUCAAAUGGGAGAGAAGAAAAUUUCCUAGAGAUUCAUCAUAGGAACAAGGUACACACAUCUACAUCUCAAUUCAGUAAAUCUCGAAGGCAUGCUAUACAUUCUUGUUAUGAUCAGUAUGCUUUCUUGAAAUAUUCUGCCUCUCACUCACGCUCUCUUCUGCUCUUCAAUGAAGAGCAUAAUGUGAAAAUUGUUACCAAUCAAAUAAAAAUUACAUUCCUAGGACAUGAUUACACUUUGAAAUUUACAGUAGAGAAGAAAUUGGAUUUUUACAAGAACUUUAAGCAACUAAGGGUUCUAGUUCUGGAUGGCGUGCGUAAUUCUAGCCUACCAAGUACCAUAGGUUACCUUGUACAACUAAGGUAUUUAGGAUUGAAGAAGACAAAUUUAGAAGAACUUCCAGUAUCCAUUGGGAACUUACUGCAUCUGCAAACAUUGGAUUUGAGGUACAGUUGCUUUCUUGAGAGGAUACCCAAUGUGAUAUGGAAGAUGGUGUACUUAAGACAUUUACUCCUCUAUACUCCAUUUGAUUCUCCAGAUAGUGGGCAUCUGAGAAUGGAUACCUUAACUAAUCUACAGACUCUACCAUAUAUAGAGGCUGGAAGCUGGAUAGAAGAAGGUGGGCUAUCCAACAUGAUUAAUCUUCGACAACUGGGGAUUGGCGAAUUAUCUGGAGAAAAGGUGAGGUUGGUCAUCUCAUCGAUAGGAAGAUUGCACCACCUACAGUCGUUGUCUCUAAUGCUUCAAUCCCAAAAUGAAGCAUUUCCUAUGUGGAUGCAGUUUUCUCAGUAUGAUCAUCUCCUCAAAUUGUGUUUCUACGGAAGGAUGGAGACGUUACCCAACCCACGCCAGUUCCCACCUAACCUCUUGAAACUAACCUUGUAUUACUCACACCUUCAGAAAGAUUCAAUUGCUCUGCUGGAGAGGUUGCCAAACCUGAGAAUGCUUGUUUUGGGUAAACGAUCAUACACUUGCAGGGAACUUACUUUCACUACAGAAGGCUUUCCUCGCUUGGAAACUUUGAGACUUAACUUUCUGGAAGAAUUGGAGGAGUGGAUAGUGGAAGAACGCUCAAUGCCAAGACUCAAGCAUUUAGUGAUAAGUAGCUGUCAAAAACUAGAAAGAAUUCCUCAAGGAUUGAAGCUUGUGACCACCCUCAAAGAACUAAAGAUAUUAGGAAUGCCAUUAUUGUUCGAGUACAGGCUUCGAAAUGAAGACCUGCUGGAAUUCAAACAAGCACCGGUAAUCAAAUCAACCACUGAUAUAUUAGGAAAUGGGGCUUCAGCUGCCAGUACAAUGUUUGGCAUGGAAGACACUUCAUCUUACUGAAGGUUUUGUAAACAAUGCCAGACAAAUUCUGUUCGAAGGUUGUUCCUUUUGUUCCUCUCGGUGCAUAGACAUCCUAAAGAUGGAGGCCCAAAAAUGAUCUACAAAAUCAGCAUGCUACAUGGAGAUCAAUCAUAAAGCAGCAUUUUCCAGCAUGACCAUUGGGAGGUAGGAAUAUUCACUGGAAGUUUCAACCCUUUCCUCAGUUAUUUCCUUCCAUAAUCUCUGGUUUUAUUAAAAUUUGCACCAGCAAAAUCACCUAAUAAAUAUCAUUUAAAUUUGGAUCUUUUGCAAGCUAAUUUCCAUGCACAACAUCUGUCACUUUCCUGUAAAAGCACUCAUCCAUGCCACUGUUCGGGCAGGUAUACAACAAUGUAAUCUAGGACUUUCUUCCAAAGCUAUAUCUACUAUAUUUUAUUUGUCAAGAACUUUGCUUUAAGAAAAAAGAUCGUAAGCCAAAACUUUGUGAGACUCCCGAUUCAUCAGAUAAAUCAUGAUAAUUUGUUAAUAGAAAUUGACAGAAAAGUUAAAGCACCAAAAUAAUUUCAAGAAGUAAAAAAGUGAAAUGGACAGUUCCCUCAUAUACCAGAGUUUCUACUCAGUUAC